RNAcentral lists this long non-coding RNA (614 nucleotides) under Paramuricea clavata. The record is from RNAcentral. Lineage: Eukaryota; Metazoa; Cnidaria; Anthozoa; Malacalcyonacea; Plexauridae.
CAAAUUUUACAGGAAGGGAUGUCAUUCUAAAUUUUCCACAAGAAAAUGCCUUUAAGAAUCGGUUGAUAUCGACAAAAAAUGAAAUUAUAUGACUCGAGGAGUGAGAAGUGCCAUGGCCCAUGACGUCCAUGCUUCAAAUGUGAAUACGAAGAACAAAGACAAAGUUUCAGAAACUAUAACAAGGUGUUUCCAACGUAAAGUCACAUCGAAAGCAUGUAAACUUUUAGCACUACAUCCUAGGAAUAACGAUGUAUGUUUGAAAAUAUUGUUUGGUUUUUGGUUAACACUAUGUCACUAAGCCUGAAGCCUCGAAUGAUGAAGUUUAAUUUUCGAUUGUUCGAACGUCAAGAACCCUUGUCAGUUUCGGGUGAGUUUCUUACUGUUCAUGUUGUUUUGGCUGUUUGGCAUGGAAGUUGCAGGAUAGUUUGGACUUAGGUUUAUAGAAGGCUAUAUCUUAAACCAAUGUAAAAUUUAUUUUUUUUACUUUUUUUAAGUUUAACGCCGGUUCCUGCAGACACGAAGAACAUAAACUGCGGAGAUUUUAGCCACUACAAAUCAAUUUAUAUCAAAUAUGUUUAUGUUCCAGGACGAAGUUAUCACGAAAAGAAAUUGUG